UGGGGAAUAUUGCGCAAUGGGGGGAACCCUGACGCAGCAACGCCGCGUGCAGGAAGAAGGUCUUCGGAUUGUAAACUGUUGUCGCAAGGGAAGAAAAAAAUGACGGUACCUUGUGAGAAAGUCACGGCUAACUACGUGCCAGCAGCCGCGGUAAUACGUAGGUGACAAGCGUUGUCCGGAUUUACUGGGUGUAAAGGGCGCGUAGGCGGAUGUGCAAGUCAGUCGUGAAAUGCCGGGGCUUAACCCCGGAGCUGCGAUUGAAACUGCACACCUUGAGUAUCGGAGAGGAAAGCGGAAUUCCUAGUGUAGCGGUGAAAUGCGUAGAUAUUAGGAGGAACACCAGUGGCGAAGGCGGCUUUCUGGACGACAACUGACGCUGAGGCGCGAAAGUGUGGGGAGCAAACAGG
This 407-nucleotide ribosomal RNA is filed under the name uncultured bacterium. RNAcentral's name for it is "bacterial SSU rRNA". It matches the Rfam family "Bacterial small subunit ribosomal RNA", at positions 355 to 776 of the family's 1533-position model. The record is from RNAcentral.